CUCUCUCUCUCUCUCUCUCCAAUUAUUUUAUCUUUGCAAAAUAUCACACUUAACAAAAACCAGACUGGUUUUCAGUUUCAGCUAAUAGCCUUGACCAUGUCACCUGUUAAGCCUUGAGCUUCCCCCAAGAUGCUUCUGUCUCCUAACCUUCAAGCUGAUGUCUUUUUUAUGCUAAUCUUCUGUUAUUUGAAUGUUUCUUCAGUGUAGAGGUGGUGUUCCAGUUUUUCUGAGGUGGGCUUUUUUUCUAUAUGGAUUUUGGGGUGGUUGGUUUGGAGGGGUUUGUGGGUUCAGACACUAGUAGUAGUUGUUUUGCUUCUCUUGCUACUUCAGAUCCUGAGAUAAAGCAGAAGUGGUACGGAUCUGGGGUUCUCAAGCAAGAGAGAUCUGGUACUACGUCUGAAGAUGAUUGUAGGAGCUCUAAACUGUCAAAAACUGAGUCAAUGCUGCUUCCUCAGAGAAACACUUUACUCAAAUCUAAUACCACUACUUCUACUACUACUACUCUUUUCCCUGAUGGUCAUCAACAUCAGCAGAUGCUGAGCUUCUCCCGUCCCAAAUCAGAAGCUCUUUCAGUGGAGAGGAGUACUCAGAAUGCCACAUUGCCUUACUUUCAACUUACUUCUUCUGCUUAUAAUAGAAAUACAGGAUACAACUAUGGAAGCUUCAAUAGUGCAAACAUGCAUGGGGUUUUGACCGAGGCUAGAGGGCCAUUUACUCCAUCUCAGUGGAUGGAGCUUGAACACCAGGCCUUGAUCUACAAAUACAUAACUGCUAAUGUGCCUAUACCUUCCAAUCUGCUCAUCCCCAUAAGAAAAGCCCUCGAUUCUGCUGGGUUUUCUAGCUUUUCAGGUGGACUCCUCAGACCCAAUGCAUUGUCUUGGGGAACUUUCCAUCUGGGGUUCUCGAGCAACACUGAUCCAGAGCCAGGACGGUGUCGAAGAACGGAUGGGAAAAAAUGGCGGUGCUCAAGAGAUGCGGUUGCCGAUCAGAAGUAUUGUGAGCGGCAUAUGAACAGGGGCCGCCAUCGUUCAAGAAAGCCUGUGGAAGGCCAAUCUGGCCAUUCCGCCGCCGCUGCUACAUCUACCAUGACUGCAAAGUCGAUGCCUACAGCCUCGUCCUCCUCUAUGUCAGCAGCCGUGGCGGGUCUCCGUGGCAGCAGCGGCGGCUCGUCCAACAGCCUCACCAUUGCACAGCAGCAGCAGCAGCAGCUAAAACACUUGCAGCCAGAUAGUUCAUUUAAUCUUUCUGCAGCUACUCCCCUCAGCAGGAUGUUUCUUGAUAAAGAGAAGUUGGGUGAGAGAGAUAGACUGCAAGAUUCACCUGGCUUGUCCAUGCUAUCAUCCAACAUUGACCUGAAAUCCAAAGAAAAUCCUUUCUUUGUUUCAAAAGAAUCCUCGCAAAUUGAGUUUGGACUUGUCAACUCUGAUUCCCUCCUCAACCCUUCACAGAAUAGCUCUUCAUUGAUCAGUUGCAGAAACUUCGGUUUGUCUCAGGACCUCACCGACCAAGAAACUGUUUCACAGCAUUCUGUUCGCCAAUUCAUGGAUGAUUGGCCUAAAUGCCAAUCUGAUCAAUCUGCAGUUUCAUGGCCUCAACUUGAUGUGCAAUCAGAUAGAACCCAAUUGUCAAUUUCAAUCCCCAUGGCCCAUACAGAUUAUAUGUCCUCCACCUCCUCUCCAAACAAUGAAAAAGUGACUCUCUCCCCAUUAAGAUUAUGUCGCGAUUUGGAUCCAGUACAAAUGGGGCUUGGAGUUGGUAGUGUUCUCAAUGAACAAAACCAAAGGCAAGCAAAUUGGAUACCAAUCUCUUGGGAAACUUCUAUGGGUGGUCCUCUUGGUGAGGUUUUGCACAAUACAAAUAGUAGUGCUUCAGAAUGCAAGAGUUCAUCUGCGCUUAACCUCAUGACAGAGGGAUGGGUUUGUAGUCCUCAGGUAGGUUCAUCUCCAACUGGGGUCUUGCAGAAGACUUCAUUUGCUUCACUUUCAAAUAGCAGUGCAGGAAGCAGCCCAAGAGCAGAGAACAACAAAACCAAUGAAGGUGCAAGUCUUUGCAAUGACCUUCUUGGUUCAACUCUAGUGCAUUCUUCUUCGUUGCCCGAGUUGUAACUGCUUGACCUGCCAAUUAAGUUUUUGGUUGAUGGAAGAAUUAGAUGAAGACGACUUCUUUUUUAAGUCUGUGCUGACAUAUGAGGGAACAAUUUGUUUUCAGUUUUUCAUCAGUAUGUUGUUUUCUUUUGUUUUAUUUUUUCUCUUUGAAAAUUUAUUUGAUAAUUUGCUUUUGCUUAGUAAAUGUUAAGACUAAUUAAAAGGGGUACUAGCCAUGAAGAAGGCUCUUAAACCUUGCAGUGUGGAAUUAU
Molecule: unclassified non-coding RNA, 2356 nt
Filed under: Hevea brasiliensis (rubber tree)
Lineage: Eukaryota; Viridiplantae; Streptophyta; Magnoliopsida; Malpighiales; Euphorbiaceae
Source: RNAcentral